UAGAAUUUAUGAAGCUAAUUAAUCGGAAAAAGUAUAAAAAACAAAUUAUAACAAUUCUAAAAAAUAUCCCUUUUAUUAAAUUCUUUAUGAAACGUGUUUCACCAUAUCCAGGAUGCAUAAUUAAUUGUCUACAAGAAUGAAAAGUUUAAAUAAAAAAUUAUCUAACCUAGACCAAAUAACAUCACAGUUGGAAACCACCAUUACUCUAUGUAAUUGUAUAAGAUUUAUAAAAAAACAAAAUAAUGAUUUGAAAUGGAUUCGACCUUUAUGAAGCUUCUUGUAAGAGGGAUGCUGAUUUAAUGAAAAAAGCCUAUUUUGAUCAAGGUUGUGCAUCGAAAAGAGGAAUGGUGGUUUGCCCAGCAUCAUCAUAAAUAUUUGAAGGACCAAACAUAAUAAACUCAUUUAUUUUCGAAAAUACAAUAUUUUUUGGUGACUUCCUUGGAUCUACUUUUUUUCCAUAAUUUACUUCAGUUCUGGAAAUAUUCAAUUAAUACCAUUAAAGGUUGAACAACUGACGUUCAAAUCAACAUAUCUAGU
Chelonus insularis is the source of this 537-nucleotide long non-coding RNA. RefSeq lists it as uncharacterized. The record is from RefSeq and is a predicted model, not a curated record. Lineage: Eukaryota; Metazoa; Arthropoda; Insecta; Hymenoptera; Braconidae. The transcript has 3 exons.